This 407-nucleotide RNase P RNA is filed under the name Sphingobacteriales bacterium. RNAcentral describes it as "RNase P RNA component class A". It matches the Rfam family "Bacterial RNase P class A". From Rfam's summary of the family: Ribonuclease P (RNase P) is a ubiquitous endoribonuclease, found in archaea, bacteria and eukarya as well as chloroplasts and mitochondria. Its best characterised activity is the generation of mature 5'-ends of tRNAs by cleaving the 5'-leader elements of precursor-tRNAs. Cellular RNase Ps are ribonucleoproteins. Lineage: Bacteria; Pseudomonadati; Bacteroidota; Sphingobacteriia; Sphingobacteriales. The record is from RNAcentral.
GCUACAAGUCGUUCUAUCGCUUGCUUUAACAAGCAAGAGGAAAGUCCGGGCAACACAGAGCAACCACACCACCUAACAGGUGGGGCUUACAGGGUAACUUGUAAGUACAGAUAGUGUCGCAGAGAAUUACCAUUCUGUUUUUUUAAGGCAGGUAUUGGGUGAAAACGCAAGUUAAAAAAUCUGCGUUCAGAUAGGGAAACCUUUCUUGAAGGACAAACCUUGUGGGUUGAAAGGCCAAAUAUACCGGCACGUUGUUUUACUUUAGGGUAACAACUAAAAGCUGCUCGUUUGAUGCCGGGGGGUAGGUCGUUAGAGCCUGAUAGCAAUAUCAGGAGUAGAUAAAUGAUAGAACAUGGUUGAUUUAACCUCAACCAUGACAAAACCCGGCUUACAGACUUGUAGUUUUU